Molecule: ribosomal RNA, 440 nt
Filed under: uncultured bacterium
Lineage: Bacteria
Description: partial 16S ribosomal RNA
Rfam family: Bacterial small subunit ribosomal RNA
Source: RNAcentral
CCUACGGGUGGCAGCAGUGGGGGAUAUUGCACAAUGGGGGAAACCCUGAUGCAGCGACGCCGCGUGUGGGAAGACGGUCCUCUGGAUUGUAAACCACUGUCCCCAGGGACGAAGAUGACGGUACCUGGGGAGGAAGCUCCGGCUAAUUACUUGCCAGCAGCCGCGGUAAUACUUAGGGAGCAAGCGUUUCCCGGAAGUACUGGGUGUAAAGGGAGCGUAGGCGGGAUGGCCAGUUGGGUGUUAAAUCUACCGGCUAAACUGGGAGUCGAACUCAAAACUGCUAUUCUUGAGUGAAGUAGAGGCAGGCGGAAUUCCUAGUGUAGCGGUGAAAUGCGUAGAUAUUAGGAGGAACACCAGUGGCGAAGGCGGCCUGCUGGGCUUUUACUGACGCUGAGGCUCGAAAGUGUGGGGAGCAAAUAGGAUUAGAUACCCCAGUAGUC